ACGAACCGAACCAAAUGCGAGCCGAAUACGCGAUGCCGUGAGUAAGCUAUGGGGGAAUGGCUGGCAAACAGCAAACGAAUGUCGAAAACAGGAGUCCACACGAAAGCGUAGUGUAGCGCUAAGCGCUUAGCGGCAAACGAAGACGGAUACCCGUGCCUGGCAAGGCGAUUGGUGAGAGCGCCCAUAUACACACACUUGUAUGUGUGCAUGUGUGUGUGUGGGUAGGUGUGUAGCCUUUCAGGCUGGCUUACAGCCUGAACCGACAUUUCGCAAUCACUUGCACAGUUCGAGUCGAGCCGUUGCGAGGAUAAGUCGCUGAACGCGGAAAGUGAACUCAGCCAGAACAGCGAAUAGUGGAGGCAAACAGUAAAUACACACUACUCUGCUGUGCUCUGGAGUGUACCUGUUAGUGCAUGAACUUCUAAAUUAUUGAUGAAAUAUAAAUAAAAACGCAGAAGACAGUUUCAAUUGACUAACAUAAAAUAUUUAUGGAAAUUCAAAAAAAGCAACAAAUGUUAAGAAAAAUAAAUAAAUAACGAAAAAUUAAAAAAAAAAAAAACAAAUAAUUAAUUAACAAUCUACAUAUAAAGUGUAUAAAAAUCAAGGAAGAAAACAGAAAAAAAAUAAAAUGCAAAAUUCCGAAAAUAUUUUGAAAUCUGAGAAUUCUAAUUAUCGUUAACUAUUGCUGUAAGUGAAACAUGUUGUGCAACUAUAAAUAAUUAAUAACAAAAAAAAAAAAAAAUAAAUAAAAAAAACUAAAUUUGUUUGUUUAAAUGAAAUCGACAUAUCUACUAAGUGAAUUGUGAAUACGAGAAUACUUAUCAGUGAAUAUUACAUAAAUACAAAUACAAUAAUAUAGGAAAUCAAAUAUAAAUGUAUAUAAAUAUAUAUGAUGAACAAAUAUAUGCAUAACUAAAACAACAAACAACUACACAAAUUUAACUGCAGCACCAGCAAGUGACAACGUUUAUAAUUCAUUGUUAAUAAAUUAAUUCAGCAGCUGCGGCUAAUUGAGCAAGUGUGAGCGACCACAGGGUAUAUGAUUUGGUACGUAUGGAUUUUCAUGUUAUCAACGCUAUUAACUUUCUAUUUCAUGAAAUAAUCCGUGUGCAAAACAUGAAUAUCAGGUAAUUCUCUUCUCAUUGUAUCUACUAUUGUAACUUGAGUAAAUAAA
This is a long non-coding RNA of Zeugodacus cucurbitae (melon fly), 1174 nucleotides long. RefSeq lists it as uncharacterized. Lineage: Eukaryota; Metazoa; Arthropoda; Insecta; Diptera; Tephritidae. The record is from RefSeq and is a predicted model, not a curated record. The transcript has 3 exons.